Anguilla anguilla (European eel) is the source of this 1933-nucleotide RNA transcript. It is a transcript of the gene named major histocompatibility complex class I-related gene protein-like, with no coding region annotated. The record is from RefSeq and is a predicted model, not a curated record. The transcript has 9 exons. Lineage: Eukaryota; Metazoa; Chordata; Actinopteri; Anguilliformes; Anguillidae.
UGCGGAAGUGCAGAACUGGUAGCCAUUACACGAAUAUGUGACUCCGUUAUCUGUUAUCUAGCGUCUUCGGAUCGGACGGGAAAAUAUGUUUCGUAUUUUUACGGAAACACUCAAGUGCACACUGUUAUUUUCUUGGUUUAUCGAUUGAGAAAUUGGUACCAAGAUGAUUUUCCUAAGACUGUUCUGUAUCUUUGCCACUGUUAAGAGCGACGUCUCAGGAGAGAUUCACAAUCUUCAUUACAUUUACACCGCCCUUUCGAAGCCCAUCAGUCAACCAGGAGUCUCUCAGUUCGCCGCUAUGGGAGUUCUGGACGACAGGCCAAUUGACAUCUACAACAGCGAAGACAAGGUCAAGAGGCCGUUGCAAAAAUGGAUGGAAGAACAUAACGAGAAAGACUACUGGGAGAAAGGCACACAGUCCCGCAAGAGCAAGGAACAGUGGUUUGACGUCAACAUCAAAAUCCUGAUGGAACGCAUGCACCAGAACAAAUCAGAUCCAGAUGUCCAUAUUCUACAGUGGAUGCAUGGCUGCCAGGUGGAAAAGACAACUGAUGGCAAGCUGAAGUUUCGUAAUGGUUUUGACCAGUACGGCUAUGAUGGCGAGGACUUCCUGUCCUUCGACAGUGAGAACAUGGUGUGGGUGGCCCCUGUCCCUGCAGCUGAAUCCACCAAGCAGAAAUGGAACAACGUGCCUAUCCUCAGCCAGUACACCAAGGGUUACCUACAGACGGACUGUGUGCACUGGCUGGAGAAAUUUCUGAAGUACCAAGACCUAGAGCUCAAAACUUUCUCUCCUCCUAAGGUACAUCUUUUUUCGAAGAAGUCCACCAGCCCUGACUACCACACCCUGGUGUGUUUCGCCACCGGAUUCUACCCCAAAGAUCCGGCGGUAAACAUCCUGAAGGACGGUGUGCCAUUGGCCGAAUCGGACGGGGUCGCCUCUUCGGGGAUGAGACCCAAUGGAGACCGUAAGGAGACGUACCAGCUGAGGAAGUGGCUGGAGAUCAAGGCAUCAGGCACCUCACAGUACAGUUGCAGAAUCCAGCACCGAACCCUGCUGAGUCCGAUCGAAGAAUCCUGGGAUGGAAAGUGCCGUAACUGCGACGGUGACAACACAGGCGCCAUUGUUGGUGGCGUUGUUGUUUUGCUCAUCGUCUUGGUGGCGGUGCUUGUGGGCCUGUACGUUUGGCACAAGAAAAAGAAAGGAGUAAGAUCGGAGACAAACGGACCAAACGGCUCUGUGGAAUUAGGGGAUUCUGGUAAUGUUCACUGCCUUUUGAGUAUGAAAAUGCAUGAAGAAAUGAUUUUAUCAGAUUUAAUGUGUGUGCAGGAUAUGAGUCUGAUUAAGCACCUUUCCUGUUCUUCUAGGGAGGGCGUCCCCUGCCUCUGGUGGACCCAAAGAAGAAGUGAAUGAGCACUUGAUGGUCAAUGCAGAGGGCGAACAGCAGCCACAGCUUGAAGCCGCUGAAGUAGUGUGACUGGUUUGGUCUGGUGGCACUUCAGUGAACUUUUGGGCUGCGGAGGGUGAUGCGUCUGUGACCGCGAGAUCUGACGAGACCGGCUGCCACAUCCCACUAUCCCCUCCACUCUGCUUACUAGGAGACACAUCCAACAUCAACCUAAACAACACAUCCAGUAGAAUACUCCCCAUAGCCUUAAUCAUCGCCAAGAAAAUGAUCCUCAUCAACUGGAAACCAAGGAAAAAAAUCAAUAUUGCACUUUGGAAAAAUCUACUAAUCGAAUACAUAUCAAUGGAAAUUUUUAAUUCCCACACUGACUUCACUCAUCACCCCUUUUUGACUGUCCACCAUCCACAAUAAACAUGCUCACCGUCACUCACAUACACAUAUCCGCCAUUAUACCUACACCACAAUCCCUACCAAAUUUAGAAUCUGACAUACACUUGCACACACACAGGCAUCAUACACCUACA